Myotis davidii is the source of this 71-nucleotide non-coding RNA. Lineage: Eukaryota; Metazoa; Chordata; Mammalia; Chiroptera; Vespertilionidae. The record is from Rfam.
GCUGUUAUGGCUCAGUGGUUGAGCAUUGACCUAUGGACCAGGAGGUCCUGGUUUGAUUCCAGGUCAGGGCA